Molecule: ribosomal RNA, 110 nt
Filed under: Chaubardiella pubescens
Lineage: Eukaryota; Viridiplantae; Streptophyta; Magnoliopsida; Asparagales; Orchidaceae
Description: partial 18S ribosomal RNA
Rfam family: Eukaryotic small subunit ribosomal RNA
Source: RNAcentral
CGGGCGGUUCGCCGCCCGCGACUCGGCGAGAAGUCCAUUGAACCUUAUCAUUUAAAGGAAGGAGAAGUCGUAACAAGGUUUCCGUAGGUGAACCUGCGGAAGGAUCAUUG